GACGAACGCUGGCGGCGUGCUUAACACAUGCAAGUCGAACGCUGAAGCUCAGCUUGCUGGGUGGAUGAGUGGCGAACGGGUGAGUAACACGUGAGUAACCUGCCCUCUUCUUUGGGAUAACGCCCGGAAACGGGUGCUAAUACUGGAUAUUCACUGAUUCUCGCAUGGGGGUUGGUGGAAAGGUUUUUUCUGGUGGGGGAUGGGCUCGCGGCCUAUCAGCUUGUUGGUGGGGUGAUGGCCUACCAAGGCUUUGACGGGUAGCCGGCCUGAGAGGGUGACCGGUCACAGUGGGACUGAGAUACGGCCCAGACUCCUACGGGAGGCAGCAGUGGGGAAUAUUGCACAAUGGGCGAAAGCCUGAUGCAGCGACGCCGCGUGAGGGAUGGAGGCCUUCGGGUUGUAAACCUCUUUCGCUCAUGGUCAAGCCGCAGCUUUGGGUUGUGGUGAGGGUAGUGGGUAAAGAAGCGCCGGCUAACUACGUG
RNAcentral lists this ribosomal RNA (482 nucleotides) under uncultured bacterium. Its description in RNAcentral is "partial 16S ribosomal RNA". It matches the Rfam family "Bacterial small subunit ribosomal RNA", at positions 28 to 507 of the family's 1533-position model. The record is from RNAcentral.